Molecule: ribosomal RNA, 463 nt
Filed under: uncultured bacterium
Lineage: Bacteria
Description: partial 16S ribosomal RNA
Rfam family: Bacterial small subunit ribosomal RNA
Source: RNAcentral
GACGAACGCUGGCGGCGUGCUUAACACAUGCAAGUCGAACGGAAAGGCCCUGCUUUUGUGGGGUGCUCGAGUGGCGAACGGGUGAGUAACACGUGAGUAACCUGCCCUUGACUUUGGGAUAACUUCAGGAAACUGGGGCUAAUACCGGAUAGGAGCUCCUGCUGCAUGGUGGGGGUUGGAAAGUUUCGGCGGUUGGGGAUGGACUCGCGGCUUAUCAGCUUGUUGGUGGGGUAGUGGCUUACCAAGGCUUUGACGGGUAGCCGGCCUGAGAGGGUGACCGGCGAGAUGGGAGCUGAGACACGGCGGAGACUCCUACGGGAGGCAGCAGUGGGGGAUAUUGCACAGUGGGGGAGAGGCGGAUGGAGCGACGCUGCGUGAAGGAGGAAGUGUGGGGGGAAGUAAAGUUCUAUCAGCAGGGAAGAAAGUGACGGUACCUGACUAAGAAGCCCCGGCUAACUACGUG